RNAcentral lists this long non-coding RNA (1747 nucleotides) under Zostera marina. RNAcentral describes it as "long non-coding RNA (ZMAR_LNC006172)". Lineage: Eukaryota; Viridiplantae; Streptophyta; Magnoliopsida; Alismatales; Zosteraceae. The record is from RNAcentral.
GCCUGUUGCUGUGGGCUUUUGGGGACAGGCCUGACAUGAUGGACCAGGGGUACCAUCAGAUAUCAAUUUAGGUAUCCGAAUUCAGAUAGUCAUAUUCGAAUACGGAUUCUGGUAUAUCAUCUACAGUCUUAAUUACAAAACCACAUAAGAGCCGUAAAAAUGUGAAGGAAAUAUCAUCAACAAUCUUCAAAAAAGUAUAAUAGAGAAAUAAAGAUACUGAAAAUAACGGCCCGAAAGGUAAAGGAAUUAACAAGAAAAACCGAUGUUAAAACAGUAAAAGAAUUAACUGUAAAAACGAACUCACUGAACUAAGGAUUAAAAUAAGAUUAAUGAUAAGUUUAUGAGUAAUCGAUAAUUGUCUAUUAAGUUUUCCUAUACAGGCAAUUUACCUGACACUCAUUUAAAGAAUAUCGAAGGAGUUAAAGGGGUUAAAUGCAAUAGUUUAAAUAAACAAUUGGACCAAUAUCGAAUGGGCCAGAGCAAAUAGUGGAUGGGCUAAUAGACAAUGGGCCAAAGUUUAUUUAAUUAAAGAUUGGUUGUAAACUUAUGUUAUAAAAGGAGUUUGUAAUAAAAAGUUUUAAUUAUUUGAAAGUUAACGAUCUUGUUAAUAUCAACUAACUUUUAAUGAUCCUCCUCCUUUCCCUCUACUGCCGGCGAUACUUCCGGUGACUGCUCAAGGCUCAAGGAGAAGAUAUAGUAACUCCGGUGGCUCAAAGUUAAUAAAAGGAACGGGGGUUAAGAAAAAAAAACUAAUCCUACCAAAAGAAAAUCUACAAAUGACGUUUGAAAAUUGAAUUUCUUGUCAUUUUAUUGAAUUCUUAUAUUUCAGAUCUUUUUAAAGUAAAUCUAAAUUUUAUGGACGACGGUAAAGAAUAUGAAAAUUAAAGAAGAAUAUCUUCUUCAUGAAUCUUCUAAUGAUGUGGAAGGUUCCAAGACCAGUCCGAAGAUGAUGAUGAAGACGAGUGUGAUCGACGAAUAUGAAUGUCAAAAUAUGGAGAUAUCUGAUGAGACCGAGAAUGUGUUAUUAAUUUGAGAAAAACAAUAUACCUUAGAAAAUAUAGAUUUUUUCUAAUUAUUUUCUGAUUUUUAUCUCAUUUAAAAUCAGAGCUAAAUUAAUACUAUCAACAAAAAUUCAAAAUUUCCUGAUAUUUAAAAAAAAAUUUACAGUACAUUUACAGUUGACGAUGAAAUACGAAGAAGAUGAUGAUGAUAAUAUGUUUAAUGUGAUCUAGAACGUCUAAUUAUUUUAGGAGAAGGAUGUACCAUAGGAAAUAUAGAUGGUUAUACAGAUUUGAUUACAGGGAAACACAAACAAAAAUCAGGUGUAUUAAAAUUGGGGGAAUACCGAUUUUUUUUAAAAAAAAGCACGGAACCAAUCGAUUUGUUCACUGAUUACCUGAAAUAAGGACGACGUAUAGAACAGAUAGUGGGGAGUUGAAAUUCCACGGUUAUCGAAAACCAGAUUUCGACGAUUGUUGAAUGGAAUGCGGCGAGGAACAAGCCACAACGAAGAUGAGAAGAAGAAGACUACGAUUUUGGAAGUCCGAUUGGAUGAAAACACAAAUUUCAUUGAUUCCGUGCGUCGUCGUACGGCUGCUAAAGGAGGGAGUAUGGUCGAAAACUGCGGUCCCUAUAUCUUGCAGUAGGUAGUAUGGUCGGGCGUCAACUUCAACCUCGGAAUUUAGGGUGGAAGACGGACGACUGUGAGUGGCCUAGAGACGAGAACGGUGAGAUUGGCUGACUGCAG